This 1171-nucleotide long non-coding RNA is filed under the name Zea mays. RNAcentral describes it as "long non-coding RNA (ZMAY_LNC001904)". The record is from RNAcentral. Lineage: Eukaryota; Viridiplantae; Streptophyta; Magnoliopsida; Poales; Poaceae.
GUUGCUGGUUGGUACUCGGUGUAGCGUCGUGGAGACUCACCGUGGAGUUGGCAUCGUGCGCGCUCGGUUCAUCGGUCGCGUGUGCGACGGGAUUCCGGGGAAUUCCUCGUCGGAGCAUCGAGGACCGCCGUUGAGCUCGUCUUUCCACCGUCAUUCCUAUGCGUCGUGCCAUUGACGGUAUGAACCUUCCCCAUCUAUCUGCAUUUACUGUGGUUGCGUAGAGCCUAUAGAUUAGGUAGUUACGCGCUCUGGUAGAGGAGUAAUUGCUCGCUGGCGCGAGGCGCCGCCGUGGUGCCCUUGUUCAUCGGCGCCGCCGUGCGCGUAUCCUGGAUUGGGGGAAGAGACGUGGGUCGUUGAAUCUUUGAUCUGUGGUCGAGAUUAGACGACCACGUACCCGUUCGCGCUGUGAGAUCUGAACUGUUAGAUGAAGAUCGUGCGGGCGACUGUCGAUCGGGGUUACCUUAAAUCCGGGGCGCUGGUGUUCGAUCCAACGAUGAGAUUCGCGUACCGAUUCACUAAUGUUGAGAUCUAAUCUGGCACGUCAAAAUUGGAUCCAACGGCUGGGACAGCCCCGUACCCUUUCGGCCAUGGCAAUUUGUAAAUGAGUCCCUCUAUUAUUUUAGUGUCAACCCACAGUCCACGACCACUGUGUAUUGGGUCUGGGAAGUCUUGCGUCGUAGCCCCUGUGCUUCCGAGAAAUUGACGCGCAGUCCAGGAAAUAGAAAAUCCAGUAAAAGUAAUUAGAAAAUGAUUUUUAAUGUAAAAAUAAAUGCUAGAACUUGUUUAAUUCAUAUAAAAUUCAUAUGAAGUCCAAAUUAAUCCAUUCCAGUUUCUAUAAUUUUGUAAUAUUAUUGUUUAUCACCUAGUGUCUCUGUUUUGACAUGAAAGCCUUAUUAAAAUUUAUAUCCUAAUUAAUCUUGUAUCAAAUACAUAAAAUCUUUGGAAAUUCGUAACUUAAAAUCUAUAGCUCCAAAACUAAUGAUUCAUGUUCCUGUGAUCUUAUUUUAAUAUGUAGAUUAUUAAUGUGUAUCUUGUUUACAUGUUUGGUGUGAUGUUAAUUUCUACUUUAUACUGUGCUUGUUUGUAUUAUGGCGAGUAGAAGAGCCAGUGGCUGAGGAUCCCGGUGUUCAGCAGGUAGAAGUUGCUGAGCAGGAGCUCAUUGAAGGCAAGG